This 2367-nucleotide long non-coding RNA is filed under the name Cyanistes caeruleus (blue tit). RNAcentral's name for it is "lncRNA (ENSCCEG00000004356.1)". The record is from RNAcentral. Lineage: Eukaryota; Metazoa; Chordata; Aves; Passeriformes; Paridae.
AGUAUUUGAGGGGUUCCAGAACACAAUGGCAUCUCCGGGAAAUUCUGCUGGUUCAGUUCUACUGAAGUUUUGAGAUGAGUUGCAAAUCCUGAAAAUUUUCUCCUUGCCGAGGUGGUAAUUUCACAGUUUAGAUUGUGGGGAUAUUGAUUGCUCAGUGUUGAGGACCUAAUGUAACUUUCAGCAGCAGAAAUUUUCAACAUCCAGUGAUUGAGACAAAAACAUUUGAAAUCUUUUUUUCUGUGGACAGGAAUUGCUUCUGUGUUACCUCACAUCAUCCAUUAAAAAUUUGAUGCCUGGAAAAAGUCCCGAGUGCUGUGUGAUUUCCUUGGUCGUGUUCUUUGGAAUGGCUUCCCCCCCAUUUUCUGAAGCUGGCCACAGAAAGGUUAACUUUUGCAAAUUCCGUGCUGAAAAAUGUUGCUACUAAGGAUGGUUGGUGUCAAAAGAGGUUCUUUUCUCGCUUGAAUUCAUUAAAAUCUCCAGGUGAGGGGAAGAUUGUAUCUAUUCCUCUCUUUUUAAAGCAAAUUUUCCAAGAGGGAUCUAAAAUUGCAUUUGAGGGUUGGGGUGUGGUUUUUUUCCCUUCUUUCAUGUGCAACCUAACAACUCCAACUUCACAGGCCUAUUUAACAUUUGAUCCAUCAAAAUCAGUCCUUUGAUUUGUGUUUUGGAAACUUGUUCAUCUUGGGGAAUUUGUCAUCUUCUCAGGGUAUUGAAGGUCAACCAAAUGCUGCAGGUUUCAUUCUUCCUUUAAUAUGGUCUAUGUGCUGGAGUUUGACUCUUAAGCAGAACUCAUUUUUUAUUUUGCAGCCUAGCACUUCUACUGUGGGGCUCUGGGCAGGUCAAUUCACUUGAGAACGAUGGGUAAAUCAGCUCCUGGGAAGCUGUGCACUGCCUGGCCCCGAUGCUUCAGCAUGCUUGAGGUCAGCUUGGCUGUCUCCGACUGUCUAAUAAUAUGCAGAAUAAUAGAAUUUAGUAUUCAUUUUAAUUGCUGAUCAAUAAGAUUUGUUUUCAUCUAAAUCUGCGUGCUAGUUUCUAAACCACUACAGUCUGUUUCAUCAAUGACCUNNNNNNNNNNNNNNNNNNNNCGUAAACCUCCCUUGGCACAGCUUCAAAGCCUUGUUGGCAUCUGCUCUCUCUUGUCCUUGCCCAUCUGGCUGGCGCUGCCGUGUUGCUCACUGGCCUGUCUGUGGGAGAAGAGGCUGUGCCAAUGAGUGCUGCUCAACUUUGAGGCCAUCCAAAGGAGGAUUUGAUUGUGCCUGCUGUGGGAAGGAAGAUGCGUGCACAUGGCCACUUCCCAUAGGUUUUACCGCAGAUUUUCAUCAACAGCUGUCCUACUGAAAGUAAAGUCUGUUUUAGUGAGUAUUUGAGGGGUUCCAGAACACAAUGGCAUCUCAGGGAAAUUCUGCUGGUUCAGUUCUACUGAAGUUUUGAGAUGAGUUGCAAAUCCUGAAAAUUUUCUCCUUGCCGAGGUGGUAAUUUCACAGUUUAGAUUGUGGGGAUAUUGAUUGCUCAGUGUUGAGGACCUAAUGUAACUUUCAGCAGCAGAAAUUUUCAACAUCCAGUGAUUGUCUUUGAGACAAAACCAUUUGAAAUCUUUUUUUCUGUGGACAGGAAUUGCUUCUGUGUUACUUCACAUCAUCCAUUAAAAAUUUGAUGCCUGGAAAAAGUCCCGAGUGCUGUGUGAUUUCCUUGGUCGUGUUCUUUGGAAUGGCUUCCCCCAUUUUCUGAAGCUGGCCACAGAAAGGUAAUAGAUGGGUGAGAAGUUGUGAAAGGCCAACUGGUGUAGAUCUUUGCCUCCUGUUUCGAGGUCUGUGGUGAGCUGUGAGUCAAAGAGCUGAUUUGACGCUCUGGAGGUCAGAACUGAGGGGAGAUGCGGAGUCUCCUCCCAAUGCCCACUUUUGCCGCUGACUUGGUUCUUGGCCUCGGCUGAGAGCAGUAACGAAGGUGCAGCUGCAUCAGGUCACAGUUCUGCCUCAGCAGCUGCAUCAACUUCUUUGGACAGCCCUGUCCUCGGUGACGGCGGGGCAAUAUAAAUACAAUAUAAAUUCCAGCUCAUGCUUUCCCCAAAAGCCUCAUUUAAUUUAUCCAGGAUUAAAAAUUAAAGAAAAACUAAAAAAUAACUUAAAAGCAUUUCACAUAGUAUGUCAAAUACUAUCAUUUCCAUCUGAAGUGUUCAUCAUUAUUAUGUUUUUCUGAAGUGAAUUACCAAGUCUCCUGCACCCAUCUUCCCAAAAUCUGAUUCUAAGUGCUUGCUAGUUUAAUCCCUUAGGAAGCAAAGGUAGCCCCAGGUGUCUCUGGAUAAACAGAAACUAAGCAGCAAAGCUUGACAAAGUAUAUUAAAUUGUCAAUAAACUCAAUAAAGAUUUUCCA